AGAGUGUGCCUUUCAGGCAUCCUCUCCUAAAACUUACGGGCUGACCUUCGGGUCGGCCCUUUUUUUAUGAUUCG
This 74-nucleotide small RNA is filed under the name Sphingomonas prati. RNAcentral's name for it is "Makes More Granules Regulator RNA (mmgR)". It matches the Rfam family "Makes More Granules Regulator RNA (mmgR)". From Rfam's summary of the family: SuhB later renamed mmgR (makes more granules regulator) was a putative non-coding RNA found multiple times in the Agrobacterium tumefaciens genome and related alpha-proteobacteria. Lineage: Bacteria; Pseudomonadati; Pseudomonadota; Alphaproteobacteria; Sphingomonadales; Sphingomonadaceae. The record is from Rfam by way of RNAcentral.